Molecule: ribosomal RNA, 257 nt
Filed under: uncultured prokaryote
Description: partial 16S ribosomal RNA
Rfam family: Bacterial small subunit ribosomal RNA
Source: RNAcentral
UACGUAGGUGGCGAGCGUUAUCCGGAAUUAUUGGGCGUAAAGAGCGCGCAGGUGGUUGAUUAAGUCUGAUGUGAAAGCCCACGGCUUAACCGUGGAGGGUCAUUGGAAACUGGUCGACUUGAGUGCAGAAGAGGGAAGUGGAAUUCCAUGUGUAGCGGUGAAAUGCGUAGAGAUAUGGAGGAACACCAGUGGCGAAGGCGGCUCUCUGGUCUGUAACUGACGCUGAUGUGCGAAAGCGUGGGGAUCAAACAGGAUUA